CCACUUGGAAACAGGUGCUAAUACCGGAUAAGAAAGCAGAUCGCAUGAUCUAAGCUUUUAAAAGGCGGCGUAAGCUGUCGCUAUGGGAGUGGCCCGCGGUGCAUUAGCUAGUUGGUAAGGUAAAGGCUUACCAAGGCGAUGAUGCAUAGCCGAGUUGAGAGACUGAUCGGCCACAUUGGGACUGAGACACGGCCCAAACUCCUACGGGAGGCAGCAGCG
This 219-nucleotide ribosomal RNA is filed under the name uncultured Lactobacillus sp. RNAcentral's name for it is "partial 16S ribosomal RNA". It matches the Rfam family "Bacterial small subunit ribosomal RNA", at positions 146 to 356 of the family's 1533-position model. The record is from RNAcentral. Lineage: Bacteria; Bacillati; Bacillota; Bacilli; Lactobacillales; Lactobacillaceae.